GCCAGCUGCCGGGAGGGAAUCGCGGACUGGGAGUCAUCCCGACCCACGUUUGGAAGUUCCCUCCUGCCGAGUCGAGGCCGGAAGUGAGGAAUUGCCAUCCCAAACUGCUCGUUUUUUUCUUGAGGGCUUCGGUGUUAGUUCCACACCACAAAUGUUACCUUUUAAUCUUUUCUGAGAGGCCAUCGUGGCCUCCCAAUCAGCGUUAGCAAAAUUGCCAGCCCUAAGAAACUGAAUGAUUUAUAAUGAUGGGAGUCGGGGAAAGGGUGGAAAUUAUGGAUCUGCUCUUGUAAACAGGAUGUGAGAACAUUGAGAAACCCUUUGAAGGACAUGUUGAUGCGUCCAUAAAGGAGAAGGAAUAACGAGCAGAGCCGGGGCUCUGGUUUGGAGACCCAAGUCUUCCUCUUUGGGUAUUUUACCCUUAGACAUCUGGACCAGUUCCUUAAAAGUCUCCAGUCUAGGAUCUAAGACACUGAUUUAGAACUAUACUGCUUUCUUUGUGAGUGCUGUUUGAUAAGUCUAGAUAAAGAGCUUUCGACCCUUUGAAUUAAAUACCUCUUUGGUCACUAAGUGCCUCUUGGGCUCUCUUCAAGGGUCCAAUUACUUGUAGACAACGAAGGUAUCUUUUUAAUUCCUCCAUGUUGAGAAUGAUACACACCUCUAAAAUACCAUGGCAAAUUAAAACAGCUCCUUUCUAAGAGUCCUGGGCUCGUUAACACUCAGCAGCUUGAGUAAAAGUGAGCCAGCACUGAAAAACAAAACACAUAAUCGAGCCCUCUCUAGUUGCGUUUAUUUCUCUGUCAGUUGUCACAUUGAAAAGUGGCUUUUAAUUUAGUAAAAGGAUAGACAAAUGGAACUUUGAAAACCCUAGGGGAGCAAGCCAAGCUGGCUUUAUGAGUGUAUACAACCUAUGCAAUAACAGAGCUAACUAGAAGGGCCCCACACAGGGUCCAAUGAUCUGCUGUUGUCUUGGAAUUCUUAAUAAUUUUGAAUAAAGGACCCGUCCUUUACAUUUU
This is a long non-coding RNA of Equus quagga, 1013 nucleotides long. RefSeq lists it as uncharacterized. The transcript is spliced from 2 exons. The record is from RefSeq and is a predicted model, not a curated record. NCBI's taxonomy places the organism in Eukaryota, Metazoa, Chordata, Mammalia, Perissodactyla, Equidae.